CUCUUCCCUAUAUGGAACUUUCUAGUACACAGCAGUGAUGGAAGCACGGGGUCCGGAGGACUGGGGAGGCCACAUCUCCUCUGUGAAAGUUCUCUUCAAGAUGGAUUUUCUAAUUCAAUCAAAUACAAUUAGAAAAGUUUGUGUGUGUGGGGGCGGGGGGAUACAUUUGUGGCAGUGAACAAGAUCUAGCCAAAACCAUAGAACUCAGUAAAUUAUUGGAAAUCCAAAAUAAAAUAAGUGAAAAUAUUUAAGCUUGCAAAACCUUAUCACUGCUUCUAUUAAUUGUCACUUCACUUUUAACGUAGUUUUCAAGACUGGAUACUAGACUAACACCAUAUACUUUAUGCUUGUUUUAUGUAACUGUACAUUAGGUUUUCUCACAAAAAAUCACAUAGUUCAUGUACUUUAUACUCUUUGGAAUUCUGUGCAAUCUUACCCCUCCCCCAAAUGCUAGAAAUCGCAUUUCAGGGACUUUAGAUUUCUACAGUCCCCCAGACUCCCCUAAUAUGUCUCUCGUCUUCCGCAAUUGACAAUACCCCAAUUUUACUAUGCUGGGACUGCCACUGGUGCACAAGCGAUAAAUCCCAUACACUUUUCAGACAUUUUCAGCUGCACCUUCACACUUUCAAGACAGCUUCACUUAUCCCCCACACUUUUGUAAUAUGCAAAAAUGGUUACCAAAAGUUUGAUAUUGCCCAUAUAUUUUACAAACUUUCCAACAUGGGCAUGAAGUUUAUAUGGAAUGCAUCAUAAAUAAAUUAAUAAAAAAGCUAUUUUAUUUCCUGCUAUUUUAUUUCCUGCAUUUGAAGGGUUACGCUUCAAAUGCUGCAGCACUUAAUUAAACAAGUAAUUUAAUACAGUAUUUCAUAUUUUACCAAAGAAUAAUUACAGGCCACAAAUCGAUAAAUUGCUGUCGGGUGCAAUGGCCAAUAGCUAAUUUUGUGAACACUGACAGUUUG
Non-coding RNA from Paramuricea clavata, 959 nucleotides. The record is from the annotation of a GenBank genome assembly. Lineage: Eukaryota; Metazoa; Cnidaria; Anthozoa; Malacalcyonacea; Plexauridae.